AGCAGUGGGGAAUUUUGGACAAUGGGCGCAAGCCUGAUCCAGCAAUGCCGCGGGAGUGAAGAAGGCCUUCGGGUUGUAAAGCUCUUUUGUCAGGGAAGAAACGGUGAGGGCUAAUAUCUCUUGCUAAUGACGGUACCUGAAGAAUAAGCACCGGCUAACUACGUGCCAGCAGCCGCGGUAAUACGUAGGGUGCAAGCGUUAAUCGGAAUUACUGGGCGUAAAGCGUGCGCAGGCGGUUUUGUAAGUUUGUCGUGAAAGCCCCGGGCUCAACCUGGGAAUUGCGAUGAAGACUGCAAGGCUUGAAUCUGUCAGAGGGGGGUAGAAUUCCACGUGUAGCAGUGAAAUGCGUAGAGAUGUGGAGGAACACCGAUGGCGAAGGCAGCCCCCUGGGUCAAGAUUGACGCUCAUG
This 409-nucleotide ribosomal RNA is filed under the name uncultured bacterium. RNAcentral's name for it is "bacterial SSU rRNA". It matches the Rfam family "Bacterial small subunit ribosomal RNA", at positions 350 to 751 of the family's 1533-position model. The record is from RNAcentral.